CUGCAUGGAAAAUAGCAAAGAACAUCACUAUGCCAACCGCAAGGAAUGGGAGUCUAAAUACUUCAGCCCACUGAAUUUUAGGAUACAGUUUCUAUCAUUUGCACAAGUCCAAAGAGUCAGAACACUUGCAUAUAACAAGCAGGAUGAACAUUUAUCUUCCUUCUCUUGGCAAAGUACCUGUAUUUCCUUUAAGACCGACAAUCUGACAGUCUCCAACUUCUCUGGAAAGAAUUCAUGGUCCAUUCUGCCCAGAACACUGGCUUCUACUCGAGUAGCAAGACAAUGCAGAGAGAAUAAAUGAGAAAAAAUCCGAGGAAAAUGAAGCAAAGCCUGCUCUACUUCUGAAUUUUCAGGCAGAAAACACUCCAGGAGAGGACCACCAGUUCUGACUUGAGGAAUGGAAAUGUGAUUUCCUCACAUUCUGAGAUGUUCCCAGGCAGAUCCACUUGCAGAGAUGGGAGAGAAGGAGCAGAGAUCCACAGCAGAAGCAAGGCGGCCUGCAGGCACCUAAACCUCAGAGUGAGCCAUGCUUUCUGUUCCGGUUGAGGCAGCUGGGGUCCUAAGAAAGUGGGAUAAAUGCCACUAUUUCGGUCCCUGUUUAUCAUCAUCCGGCUUAAUCCCAGAGGUGGUCACACUCACAGGAAGUGUGUGGCACAGCAGGAUAAAUAAACCUUCAGCUUUCUUGUUAAAGGACCAAAAAGGAAAGCCCCAGAAAACUGAGAAGUAUAGGGAUAAUUCCAGAUAGGGAAGAACUCAGAACUGUGACUUUUUAAAACUGUGUAUGAACUCAUGGGCUCACCCUUGACCUCAUCAUACAUGGAUCCUAAACUAAACAACAUACCAUAUUUUUGAAAACUAAACUAAGAGAUAAGACUACUGCCUAGGUCCCAGACUGGCCACUGGCCCGUGUACACAUGGGACAGAUCUGAAUGGUAAAGGCAGUGGCAAUAGAACUGAAUUAACACCACAAUAAAUGUAAAACCAAUUGAAAUUUGUUUUGUACACCCAACUAUGCUGAUAAUCUGCUGAAACACAAAUAUCAACAUUAAGUAUCAUUUAAACAAGGCAUAGGGUUUCAUAGCAUAAUAUUCAAAAUGUCUAGGGUACAAGCCCUAAUUAUUGAGGAUAUAAAGAAUUAAGAAAAUGUCUCUACAUGCAGGAUAAAAGGCAUUGAACAGACAGCACAGCCAAGAUGUUAUAGAUGUUGGAAUUCUGUGAUAAAGAAUUUAAAUCAGUGAUUAUAAGAUGCUUCAGCAAGCAAUCACAGACAUAAUUUAAAUAAAUAGAAUUAGAGAAAAUAUUAGAAACAAAGUAGAAUAUGAGCCAAAGUGAAGAAGAUCCAAAUAUAAAUUUUAGGACUGAGAAAUAAAGUAACAGCGAAAGCAAAACCUCAUGGCAUAGAUCAGGUAUUUUAAAUUCAGGGUCAAUAUACGGCUUCUUGAGGAUGUAGAAGGGGCUGUGGGUCCUUGAAAUUGAAUUGUAUGGAUAUCACAUGGGCAGUUUCCAAGGAGGUGGGUGCAGUGCUGACAAUGCUGGUGUCUGGGCUGCAAGCUUGGAGGUUAUAAUGUAAUGAUCUGUGGGUAGGGCUACAGGAACAAGUGUUUUAAAAGAAUCUACUCAGACCAUUUGGGACAGGACAGAGAUAUUCCCUUAGGGACCAGUGCCCCCUGUCCCCUGCCAAGCCUGGAAAUAAAUGAAAAUCUUGAGUUCCUUUAAGGAUAAUUUUAGGUACCUAACUAUCUCUAAUAAGUAAAUAAGCAACUUAUAAAGCCACAAGUAAAGAGUAGCCUAAAAUAAUAGCCACGGAAGCUACAAUCACAGAAUGUUUGGUUCUCCUAUGGAAACUAAAGAUAACAUCUUAACAUAUGUUUCUGAGUUGUUUUUCAGAAACCUGGAUUCCAACCAAGAGGAUCUGCCAGCACAACAAGUAGGCCUCUGACAAGGAGGAAUUGCAGACUGACCUCUGACCACCACUCCUUGUUAUAAAUUUCUUCCCACCAGGCCUGGAGAAUCUCAUCUCCACAAGCCAGAGCUAACAUUCUUCUUUGCAGACCCCCAAUUUUUUUUUUUCUUGGAGACAGAGUUUCACUCGUUACCCAGACUGGAGUGCAAUGACACGAUCCUGGCUCACCACAACCUCUACCUCCUGGGUUCAAGCAAUUCUCCUGCCUCAGUCUCCCAAGUAGCUGGGACUAUAAGUGCGUGCCACCAUGCCCAGCUAAUUUUUGUGUUUUUAGUAGAGACAGUGUUUCACCAUGUUGACCAGGAUGGUCUCGAUCUCUUGACCUCGUGAUCUACCCGCCUCGGCCUCCCAAAGUGCUAAGAAUAUAGGCAUAAGCCACCAUGCCCGGCCUGCAGACUCCAAAUUUUUAAACAAAGUUUUCUUCCUUAACCUAUUGCAUAUUAGAAAAUCUCUUAAUCUACCUAUGACCUGUAAGUUCCCUCUUCAAGUCAUCCCACAUUUUUAGACCAACACCACUGUGUAACCUCCACGUACUGAUUUUUAAAUUUUUCCCUAACUUCCACUUUCCUGAAAUUUACCCUGACUUUGAUUUAUCCCUUGUCUGCAAGCCAUUGGGAAGGUUGGAACAUAAGUUUAAAUUACCUGAUUCCAUUUGCUUGGUACCCUGCAAAUAAAUACUUUCCUUUUUCCUGCUGCAAAGGUCAGCAUGGAUACAGAUAUCCAUGCUGCUUACUGCUCCAAGUAAGUGGACCCCUGUUCACUUCCAUAACACAUUCUCAUCACCAGCCAGGAACAAGAACAGCUGAUCAAGUGUUGCCCACUUAGCUUUCAGAAAAGAAGACUGAAGCUCAACAGGUUUUACCCCAUCAGCUUUCUCUGCCACCUAGAUUAGCCUAGAAAAAGUGCAUCUCUUGUCUUAUCCUGUUGCUGACCCUGACUGCGGCAUCUCCUAAGUGAGGACAUGUGGAAACAGCAGGAGGCUCCUGUCAUGAUGAGAAACAGGUUAAGUCAUUGGAAAAUGACAGCAUGGGCAGAAUGAAAAAUGUUUUGAGCGACAGAAGGGAAACAAUUUAUUUCUUUCUUAUAAAAAUCUAUGAAAUUUUCCUUUAUUGGCUAGCACUAGACAUUUUCUGAGAGGGAGGAUCAAAUUUUAUUGAUGACCACUUUUUAAUAAACCACUUAAUGUGAAGAUAAAACUCUGAAUAUCUACAUUAUCAGUAACCCUGAUGAUUUUUCUAAAAAAGGUAAUUAAACAGGUUGUUCAAUCAGAGAUAAAAAAAAAUAAUAGAGGAGAAAAAUCUGAUAAGAGAACAAAAGGAGAAGCACCAUUUUGGGAACAGGAAUUGCCAAUGCCUAAGUUGUUUUCAUUUGAAAUGUAAAUUUUUUCAUCUUCCCAAACUUUCCAGUGAAGUCCACAUAAAUGCCUAUGUGAGUAGGUUUUAUCUUAUUUUUGUGUUGUGCAAAUUAAAAAAAAGGGACACAUUUUCUGCUGGUGACAAUAAUAGCAAGAAAAUGAGAGAACUCCUAUAUUGAACAAAUACGGCAAAAGGAAGAGCUCAGAGUCAGAGAAGGAUAUGAUAAUACAAGUUCUUUCAGAGUUCUCAGAAAUCUCAUAAAAGGCCUUGGAAUUUCCAGUAGUUGUAAAAAGUGGAAUCCAAUCUUCCCUGACUCUUAAGGUGUCUGUGGGUACAGCUGAUGUGUAGUCAAACCCUUACCAUGGCUACUCAGCAUAACUAGAAAAUACUCACACUUUAUGUGCUCAAAAUUUUGUAGACUCUGGACUUUCUUGUAUGUGAUUAUGCAGAAUUUCUUAUGUUUCUUAACCAGCCAGUAACAUAGACACCUUUCUUCCAUAGUUAAGAAAAGUUACCAAAACUUGGUAUUAGAAAUAAAGCAAAUAGGUAGGUAGUGUUGGGGUUCAGGGGAGCCCUCAGUUCCUCUGAGAGGAUGUUUCUCCAAGGUUAUUGGUCUCCUGUUCUCUCAAGAAUGAGAGAGGUUACCAUAGCAGGUGCACUCAUAAAGUAAAAUACCAGACCCCAAACAGAGUUUACAGAGAGUGAUUUUAUUAGGUAGAGAAAGAGAAAAAGGAGAAGAGAGAAAAAUUCCAUGAAGAGUGUGGAAGGGGACUCCAGAGGGGAAAUCCAGCUGGGUGUGGGGACAAGGACUUUUAACCUGGGAGAAAUUCCCUUCUUCUCCAAGCCCCGCAGGCCAAUGAAAAGAGUUCCUUAGAAAUUCUGCUGGAGUGAUUGACUUUUGAUUCAUCCCACACCUGUGAAAUUUAAACAUAAACUGUUAAAUCUCCCGGAUGGAGAGAGAUGAGAGUGGGGCAUGGUGCCUUGAAGUUCUUGCCCUUAAAACUAGACCUCCGUGUGGACCCGGAAAGAGCACACAUUUCCUCAUUCCCCACUCUGAAUAGGAAAGCCCAACUUCUGUUGGAACACAGGCAUUGAUCGCUCUUUAGAUACUUCCUGCUGAAAUGGGGUAUAGAAGGGGCCCUGCAGUUGAUGUUUCCUCCAGAGGGAAGUCUUUCAGGCAUGCAGGUUGAUCUAGAGGUCUGUGAUAGAGCUCAUGAGCCAAGGACAUCCAGGGUUCUGGUGGCUGGAUUAUUUGUGACCUUAUGGUUCUAUAAGAAAUGAUGUGACGAUGUGGUUAAAGAUGACAGGCCCAGAGGCCAACAAAUAUACAAUGGUUAUAAACAAGCCUAGGAGAACAGAGCCAGGACAGCCAGUUGUUAAACAAGCCUUACAAUACUGUUUCUGAAAGAUUUUUAGCCCUGUGUUUGAUUGAUUCUUCAGUUUUAUGUUCAAAACAAUACUUAACUGGUUUACAAAGUAGCAGCAUUUUUCCUAGAAAGAGAUAGGUUUCCCUUCCACUAUGAAAAGGAUACUUGGAGUUCGAGAGAUAUCAAAGUUGAGGGUUAUAACCCUGUUAAGGCAGGAUAUAAAUUACACUUAUGAGUGGUUACUUCCCUGAGGAUUUUGUUGGAAAAGCAGAUGUAGUUCUUCUAAUGGCUCACAGGGCUAUGGAGGGUUGUCUCCUGGAACUUCAGGCUGUGGAGUGGAGGUCCUAUGACUUUCUUCAGGAGGUGUCCAAGACUUCGGGAUUUGGGAUUUUUUAAUAAUGGAGAUAAACAUUAGUGGUUUUGUUUUGUUUUGGUUUGGUAAGUUUGGCAUAGGACCUAUCACGGUUUUUGUGCUUUUGGUCACAAUUUUGUCCCUAGAAUGCCUGUAAUUAGGCAUAUGUAAUGAGUUACCUAACUACUUUAAUACAGUGGUUUGAAGUGCUUCAGUAAGUAACUCCUAAACACCAAAUCACAGUGUUUUAAUUUGUGAUAUGUUGGAGAGAAUGGUAGAACUUUCUGUAGUAUAAGUAUUUCAUUAACUCAUCCUUGUGCUGUUAAGUUACAGUGCUUUGACUCCUGGUUCUGUGGAAGGCACGAAGUCCUGCUUAAUCUUGAGCAUUGAUACCAGUCAAAGCCUUGUCUUCAGAUGAGUUUUGGUGAUAAUCAAAAACUGUUUUGUGAGACACAGGGCCAGAAAUUAAAACUAUAGAAUUUCUCUAGGACCAGGUGAUAGUUGCAGGAAGUAGACAAAUUCCUAGGCAGCUAGGGGCAGGUCCCUGAUGAAACCCGACCUUCAAGCUAGUGACAGCUUGAAGCCUGAAAACCAAGCUGCCACUCCAGGUAGAAUCCACUACCUGGAGUGUAAAGUUCCUUGAUCUCUUUCAGUUCAUCAAAUGGUACUUUUCCCAGGUCUACCCAUGAACCAAUUAGCAUUCACUUUCUCUGUUCUGAGUCCAUAAAAACCUCAGACUCAGCCACAUGUCAGGACUACCUGUCCACAGGUAGGAACUACCCAUUUCAGGUCUCCUCUCCACUGAGAGCUGAUUAAAACUCAGUGAAACUAUUUUCCACCUUGCUCAACCUCCAGUUGUCCAUGUACCUUCAUUCUUCCUGGACACUGGACAAGAACUCAGGACCUGCAAAAUGGCAGGCAUAAAAAGGGCUAUAAUAUGUUCCCAGCCAGCUUGCUGAGUGCUGAGCUAUGAGAGGGAGGAAAAGGAUCUGUAAUAUAUUUCCAACUAGCUCACCAAGCUGUGACAUGCUCCUGUUCACCAGAUUGCAGGAGUGAAGAGUAGUAACGUUCUGAGAACCCAGACCUUGAGAUUCUCCUGACCACAACUGUGACAUUAUAGCCAUCCAACCCUCUUCCAGCAUUGGGCAACUGCCCCAUAUGAUGGGAAGCAGCUUCAGAGCUAGGCUAGCCUGGGAACUAUGGGAGAAAGGGAAGUGGUUGGACUAAAAGAGAUGAAACAAACCCUCCUCAUUCACCUUGCUGCAGUGAUAGGAAUAAGAGAUCUGUAGCAUGCCCCCUGCACUGGGACUCUAUGGUUACUAGUGUCUCCAAGUUUUUAGGCACCAUCGUGUGUCUCUCUUCAAGACAUCAGCACCCUCAGUGGAAGCUAUUUGGAGUAUGCCUGGUCCAGCUGCAGCCUUGUAUGGAGCCAUACAGGCACCUCGAGUUGCUUUCCCCACCAUAGCCAGCAUGUCUGUCUGUGCACAGUGGCCGAAUGCCACACUUGCUUGCCUAUACACCUCUCACCACUCCACACCUGGCCUAUCCUUGGCAGUUGUAGGACCUGGACCAGGAGCACAAGCCAAGCACAGCCUACCAGGCUGAGUGAGCAGAAUGAGCCCAGCGGGCAUGAGAAAAACUCAAGCAGAGGUGCUGCUGGCCACAGAAGUUUCCAGCUAAUGAAGCAACACUGGAAGGAUCUUGUCACACAGGUACUAUUGAAGAAGAGGUGAGUGCAUGAGAUUGUAAGAGCCAAUUUUGAGGGUUAAGAUUAGUUCAGAGUUUUUCUAUAAACAUUAAUAUCAAAAGCACACCAAUGCAAGGCUAGCAUCUGAACCCAUGUGUCAGACUUCUCUCUUCUUUAAUAGAAAAUUAUAAAAGCUUAUAAAAUGUUUAUGAAAAUUUUAUGGUCAAAUUGAUUACAACUAGAUAAAUUAUAAAAUUUUGUAAAAAAUAUCUUUAACAUUAAUACUAUACCUUAUAAAGGUAGUAUUGGUUUUCUGUUUUGAAGUCGUUUUUUAUGGAAGAGUUAAGAGUUUUUUUUUGUUCGUUUAAAAGUACAGAUGAAAAAAUUUGUGGGCUGGGGGGAGUUGGAGAGACAGAUUUAGUUGGCCUCAUACUAUUUUUAUAAGGACUUACUGUUUGAGAAACUGCUUCUCCUCACUAUCAAAGGUAAACAUGUUUGUAUUUUUAUCUUGGCUAAAUGAAUGACUAUAGUAACUUGUAAUCCUAUUUUAUGAUACCAAGUGUCUUAAAUCUUUGAUAUUUGACAGACUUCCUGAAAGCAAAAUUUCAAGUUGUACUUUCUGUCUUUUUGACCUCAAACUAACUUUUAUGAAUGUUAGGGUCUCUGAAGUCUGAGAGAGACAUAUUAGGCUUAUUAGGCUUGUUUGUUAUGUUAUGAUUAUGCAGAAAGUAUUGUUAAAUCUGAGGUGGUGUUUAGCUUCUGAUAUGGUUUGGCUGUGUCCCCAUCCAAAUCUCAUCUUCAAUCAUAAAUCCUACAAUUCCCACGUGUUGUGAGAGGAACUCAGAGUGAGGUAAUUGAAUUAUGGGGGUGGGUCCUUCCUGUGCUGUUCUUAUGAUAGUGAAUGAGUCUCACAAGGUCUGAUGGUUUUAAUAAGGGGAGAUUCCCUGCAUAAGCUCUCUUCUCUUAAUCUGCUGCCAUGUCAGACAUGCCUUUCACCUUCCACCAUCACUGUGAGGCCUCCCCAGGCACAUUGAAGUAUAAGUUCCAUAAACCUUUUUCUUUUGUAAAUUGCCCAGUCUCAGGUGUGCCUUUAUUAGCAGCAUAAAAACAGACUAAAACAGUAAAUUGGUACCAGUACGGUGAGGUGUGGCAGAAAAUAUGGAAGCAACUUUGGAAGUAGGUGACAGGCAGAAGUUGGAACAGUUUGGAGGGCUCACAGGAAGAUAGGAAAAUGUGGAAAAGUUCAGAACUCCCUAGAGACUUGUUGACUGGCUUUCAGAAAAAUGCCAAUAGCAAUAUGAGCAAUAAGGUCCAGGCUGAGGUAAUUUCAGAUACAGAUGAAGAACUUACUGGGAACUGGAGCAAAGAUGACUUCUGUUAUGUUUUAGCAAGGAGACUGGCAGCAUUUUACCCCUGCCCUAGAAAUUUGUGGAACUUUGAAUUUGAGAAAGAUAAGUUAGGGUAUCUGGCAGAAGAAAUUUCUUAAGUAGCAAAGCAUUCAAGAAGUGAUUUGAUUGCUGUUAUAGACAUUCAGUUUUAAAAAGGAAACAAAAUAAAAGUUCGGAAAAUUUGCAUCCUGAUGAUGUAGUGGAAAAGAAAAUCCCAUUUUCUGAGGUGAAAUUCAAGCCAGCUGCAGAAAUUUGCAUAAAUAAUGAGGAGCCAAAUGUUAAUCCCCAAGACAAUGGGGAAAAUGUCUCCAGGGCAUGCCAGAGGUCUUCAUGGCAGCCCCUCCCAUCACAGGCCUGAAGAUCUAGGAGGAAAAAGUGGUUUUGUGGGCCAGGCCCAGUGUCCCUGUGCUGUGUGCAGCCUAGGGACUUGGUGCUCUGUGUCUUAGCCUCUCCAGCCAUGGCUGAAAGGGGCCAACACAGAGCUUGGGCCAUGGCUUCUGAGAGUAUGAGCCCCAAAGUCGGCGGCUUCCACAUGGUAUUGAGCCUGCAAAUGCACAGAAGUCAAGAAUGGAGGUUUGGGAACCUUCACCUAGAUUUCACAGAAUGUAUGGAAAUGCCUAGAUGUCCAGUAGUGAGUUUGCUGUAGGGGUGGGGCUCUUAUGGAGAACCUCUGCUCCAGUGAAGAAGGGAAAUGUGGUGUUGGAGACCCCAUACAGAGUCCCUACUGUGGAACUGCCUAGUGGGAUUGUGAGAAGAGGGCUACCGUCCUCCAGAUCCCAGAAUUGUAGAUCCACUGACAACUUGCACUGUGUGCCUGGAAAAGCCACAGACCUUCAACAAAAGCCCAUGAAAGCAGCUGGGAGGGAGACUACACCCUGCAAAAACACAGGGGCGGAGCUGCCCACGAUCAUGGGAACCCAUCUUUUGCAUCAGCAUGACCUGGAUGCAAGACAUGGAGUCAAAGAGAUCAUUUUGAAACUUUAAGAUUUGACUGCCCCACUGGCUUUUGCACUUUUUGCAUGUAGCCCCUUGGUUUUGACCAUUUGAAGUGGCUGUAUCUUCCCAAUUCCUGUGCCCCAAUUGUAGCUUGGAAGUAACUAACUUGCUUUGGAUUUACUGAUUCAUAGAUGGAAGGGACUUGCCUUGUGUCAGAUAUGAUAUUGGACUGUGGACUUUUGAGUUAAUGCUGAAAUGAGUUAAGACUUUGGGGCGCUGUUGGGAAGACAUGAUUAGUUUUGAAAUGUGAGGACUUGAGAUUUAAGAGGGAACAGGGAGGAAUGAUAUGGUUUGGCUGUUUUCCCAUCCAUAUCUCACCUUGAACUGUAACUCCCACAGUUCCUACAUGCUGUGGGAGAAACCCAGUGUGAUGUGAUUGGAUUACAGGACUGGCCUUUCCUAUGCAGUUCUCAUGGUAGGGAAUGAGUUUCACAAGAUCUGAUGGUUUUAAAAUUGGGAGUUUCCCUGCACAAGCUCUGUUAUUUUCUCUGCUGCCAUGUGAGACAUGCCUUUCGCCUUCCACCAUGAUUGUGAGCCCCCCCCAGCCACGUGGAACUGUAAGUCCAAUAAACCGCUUCUUUUGUAAAUUGCUCAGUGUCAGGUAUGUCUUUAUCAGCAGCAUGAAAAUGGACCAAUACAGCUUCCUUUCAGUUGUGUUUAUAUUUAUAUAGUUGUGUUGUUAACAUGUGUUCCAGGAUUGUAUAAGAUUCCUAAAAUUCUGCUAUGUCUUAAUAUAUGUUGUCAAUAAUAAUUAUCAUUAUUAUGUUAGCUUGUUGUAUGCCACAGAAAUAACCAAAUUUCCUGUCAACUGUGUUUUCAGCUAUGACUGUGUUAAGAAUUUUGUCAUCCACAAUCGUUUUGCUUUCAUCUCAAAAUGUGACUUAUAGUCAGCCACAGUCCAGGAUUGUUUCUUUGACGGACUUCAUAAAAAUGACUCCUAAAUGCAAGUUUCUGAUUAUUUUGGAGAUUGUGCAAUUGGACUAGAGGUAAAAUUUCCAGGGCACUAAUUGAAAGGCUGGUAUGUUCAUAAAGAUUGCUAACCUUAUAUGAAACAGAGCAAUAGUUGAUUGCAUGAACUGACGAACAGGGGACUGAAACAAUUUUUAUGCCUUUUUUUGUGUUUGAAAUAUUGAUGAUUCUUUUUGUUUUUUAGUCUGGAGAUUUUUUUUCUAUUAAGCUAUGUAUAUUUUAUUUUAUUUUAUUUUUAACUCUCUUGCCCAGGCUGGAGUGCAGUGGCAUGAUCUCGGCUCACUGCAACCUCCACCUCCUGGGUUCAGGUGAUUUUUCUGCCUCAGCCUCUGAGCAGCUGGGACUACAGGUGUGCACCACCAUGCCUGGCUAAUUUUUUUGUGUUUUUAGUAGAGAUGGCGUUUUACUAUCUUGGCCAGGCUGGUCUCUAACUCCUGACUUUGUGAUCUGCCCACUUCAGCCUCCCAAAGAGUUGGGAUUACAGGCGUGAGCCACUGCGCCUGGCCUGUACAGCUCUUAAGUAUACUUUAAGUAUAAUGAGUAGUGUAUACUUUCAUAAAUGGAAUUUAAGGCAUAUUUCUCUUUCUCUGCUUAAUUUCUUCAGAAUUUGUAAACUAUUUCUAAAUAGUGUUAAUUUAUGCCAAUGUGUUUGUUUACGUAAGUUCAAUAAGAAUCUGUCUUCAUUUAUAAUGGGACAUAGUUGGAGGAACUGAUUAUUGUCCCAGGGCUUUGAUUGAAAUAGCCUUGUGAGAGGUUCCAGUAAGGGCAAUUUAGGAUCGCCUACGUAGACAGUGAUUCUUGCUGCACUUUGUGUGGGUAAUCAGGCGAAGCAUAUAGGACUGAAGCUUAUUUUGCUGGUAGAUUGGUCCUGCUGUGAUUUGUCAUUGGUAGAAGUCUGGGACUGGAGAGAGAAUGAUUGUGUUUCAGUAGAAAACUAUAGUAUUAGAUUAACCUUUGAUUCCUGAAUGGCCAUGUAGUCGCCCAUGUUAUAGAGCUGCCCACUAUGUCCCUCUACAGCAUGAAGCAGACAAAAAGAUUGACAACUGGAUUCCCCAUGAUUGAGGAGUUGAUAUAUAGAAAGGGGGCACUGAAACUGACUCAGUAGUCUCAUAGGCAAAUUUUUUGGGGGAUAAACAUAAAUAUUUACCCUCCUGGUCUUAAAUUUUGAAAAUUAUAUUUGUUUUAUCUGAGUUUUUUCCUAAGAAAAGAACCCCCCAGCCCUCUCAAAAGAUAUCAAGGAACUGAAACACACCAGACCACCACAUCCAGACAAUGAGACAUUAGGUCCCUUAUUCAUUCUCAUUGCCUUCUUAGCCCUCCUGAGUUCCUGUUUUCCUGCACAUAGUUACAUUUCUUCCCUGCUAUAUAAACCCCUAAUUUGGUUAGCCAGGGAGAUGGAUUUGUGAUCCAUCUGAUUUUUUUGUUUGUUUGUUUCCUUGGCUGCAGCCUUCGAUUAAAGCCUUCUUUUCUGACAAUUGUUGUCUCAGUGACUGGCUUUCCUUGUGGUGAGCAGCAAGACCUAGACCGAAUCCCUGGUGUUUCAGUAACAAAAAGACAUACAUGGAGAGACCUAUGCUCUACAGAAAAUUAGCCAGAUGUGUUGGCAUGUGCCUGUAGUCCCAGUUACUCAGGAGGCUGAGGUGGGAGAAUCACUUGAGCCUGGGAGGUGGAGCUUGUAGUGAGCCAUGAUCCCACCACUGCACUCCAGCCUGAGUGACAGAGCAAAACCCUGUUCCAAAAAAAGCAGAUCUAGUGAGAAAACAUACAUCAAAUGAAUGUUGGAAUGGUUAAAUUAAAAAAUAUCAAAAGACUUAAAAACUUCUAGAAAUAAGGAGGGCUAUUACAUAAUAAAUAAGGGUAAAUUUAUCAAGGGGAGUUGACAAUACUAAAGGAGUAUGUAUGUAAUAUGAGAGCCUCAAAAUAUAUGAAGCAAAAACAGAGAAUUUACAGGAGAAAUAGAUCCAGGAUUAUAAUUAGAGAUUCAGGACUGAUUUCAGCAAUGGAUAGGCAUAAAACCAGCAAGGAUAUAUCAAAAGUUAGCUAGAACAUUAACUAACUUGGUCUAAUUGGCAUAGAGUACACCGCUCAGCAAUAGCAAAAUGCAUAUUCAUUUCAAGUGUACAUUGAAAAGACACCAAGAUAGAUCAUAUUCUGGGUAACAUGACAGACUCAUUUAAAUAUUUGAAUUUGUGCAUGGUCCUAAAGGAAUUAAAGUAGAAAUCAAUAAAAGAUAAAAGGAAAAUCCACAAACACUUGGAUUUCAAGUAAUACACUUCUAGAAAAUACUGGGAUUAAAGAGAUAGUCUCAAGGGAAAUUAGAAAAUAUUUUAAACUGGAUAAAAAUACAGCUGCCAUAUGUGGAAUGCAGCUAAAAUAGCGCUAGAGGAAACUUUAUAUCAUUAAUUGCUAAUAUUAAAAGACAGUUAAGGUAUCAGACUAAUAACUUAAAUUCCAACUUAAGAAACUAUAGAAAAGAACAACAAACCAAAUGCAAGCAGAGGGGAGGAAAUCAUAAAUAUAAGCACAGAGCUCAAGAAAAUUAAAAUAGGAAAACCAUGGAGAAAAUCUUUGAAACUAAAAGCUUAUUUUUUGAGGUGAUGAAUAAAACUAGAGAAGAUACAAAUUGUCAAUAUUAGGAUUGAAAUAGGAGAUAAUACUAUGGACCCAGUAGACAUUAAGAAGGUAAGAGAAUAUUAUAAAAUCUAUUCACAUAUACAAUUGAAAAUUUAUUCAAAAUGGAUCAAUUUCUUAAAAAUCACAAAUAAAACUCACACAGGUUGAAAUAGAUACCCUGAAGAGUCCUAAAACUUGUGAAAAUAUUGACAAAGUCUCUCUCCUUUGACUAGAACUUUCGUAAGCCUUCUCUGAGUCCUCUGCUUAACUGUGUGUGAACUUGGACUUCCCUCUCUGUAUAGAAUACAGUUUUAGUAAGAAUUCUGCUAAAUCAGCUUAGAGCGGAUCUCACAGGCUUGACAUUUGACCACCCUUAUCUUAUCACCCUGGCUUGCCUUCAGCAAUAAUCCUAUUAAGUAAUAAUCCUAAGCCAGGAAGCUCUUAUGCUGGAUGUUUCCUCCUAGUAAUUUUCUAUCUACUGCCCCCUCUCUUCUCUUUGGUUAUAAAUCCUCACUUGUCCCUCUUGGGAGUCAAAGUGGGUUUCAAUAUCUCUUCCCUACAGUGAGACUGCAUUGCAGUGGUCCCUAUAUCUAUCAUCAUGGCCCCCUUAAUAAAGUCUGACUCACCAUUUUUAACAAGUGUUUGGAUCACUGUUUUCCUUUAAUGACAUUAAAUCAUGUUUAAAAUCUAUUCUGGAAACAAUAUCUCCAGGCCCAGAUAUAUUCACUCAAAUCCAACCAAAUAUUUCAAGAAUAAGACCAAUUUUUCACAAUCUUUUGGUUAA
Long non-coding RNA from Callithrix jacchus (white-tufted-ear marmoset), 13474 nucleotides. RefSeq lists it as uncharacterized. NCBI's taxonomy places the organism in Eukaryota, Metazoa, Chordata, Mammalia, Primates, Cebidae. The record is from RefSeq and is a predicted model, not a curated record.